Molecule: microRNA precursor, 101 nt
Filed under: Marmota monax (woodchuck)
Lineage: Eukaryota; Metazoa; Chordata; Mammalia; Rodentia; Sciuridae
Source: RNAcentral
CCAGACAUCACCUGGGAUCUUGCUGGACUGCAGGCUCUGGUUCAGUAGGCCUGCUGGGUCCUGAGAUUCUACACGUCUAGCGAGUUCUCAGCGAUGCUUGU